Molecule: transfer RNA, 61 nt
Filed under: Parachtes romandiolae
Lineage: Eukaryota; Metazoa; Arthropoda; Arachnida; Araneae; Dysderidae
Description: tRNA-Phe
Source: RNAcentral
AUACAUAUAGCUUAUACCUUAAAGCAUUUUAUUGAAGAUAAAACCACCUCUCCACUCUGAA